UACUAUAGCUUGACACUGAAUUCUAAAUUUUGAUGUGUAGGAUAGGUGGGAGGCUGUGAAUCUAAAACGCCAGUUUUAGUGGAGCCACACUUGAAAUACCACCCUUUAAAAUUCGGUAUUCUAACCUAGUGCCGUAAUCCGGUACAGAGACAGUGUCUGGUAGGUAGUUUGACUGGGGCGGUCUCCUCCCAAAGAGUAACGGAGGAGUACGAAGAUUGGCUAAUUACGGUCGGACAUCGUAAGGUUAGUGCAAAGGCAUAAGCCAGUUUAACUGUGAGCGUGAUAACGCGAGCAGAUGCGAAAGCAGGUCUUAGUGAUCCGGUGGUUCUGUAUGGAAAGGCCAUCGCUCAACGGAUAAAAGGUACUCCGGGGAUAACAGGCUGAUAC
RNAcentral lists this ribosomal RNA (387 nucleotides) under Buchnera aphidicola. RNAcentral's name for it is "partial 23S ribosomal RNA". It matches the Rfam family "Bacterial large subunit ribosomal RNA", at positions 2102 to 2488 of the family's 2925-position model. The record is from RNAcentral. RNAcentral also lists the same sequence under 1 other name. Lineage: Bacteria; Pseudomonadati; Pseudomonadota; Gammaproteobacteria; Enterobacterales; Erwiniaceae.